UAUUAAAAAAAAUUCAUCCAUUAGAACUGUUUAAAACUAAUGUGGCUGUUGAAAUAACCAAACAGUGACAUGUGACGUGCCACGUGUACAUCAUGCUAACGUACAAUGACCAGUUUUUAAUAAUAAAACUAGAUGAAAUUUUUAACA
This 147-nucleotide microRNA precursor is filed under the name Gossypium hirsutum (cotton). RNAcentral describes it as "MIR7502 microRNA precursor family". It matches the Rfam family "MIR7502 microRNA precursor family". Lineage: Eukaryota; Viridiplantae; Streptophyta; Magnoliopsida; Malvales; Malvaceae. RNAcentral also lists the same sequence under 1 other name. The record is from Rfam by way of RNAcentral.